GAUGAACGCUGGCGGCGUGCCUAAUACAUGCAAGUCGAGCGAACGGACGAGAAGCUUGCUUCUCUGAUGUUAGCGGCGGACGGGUGAGUAACACGUGGAUAACCUACCUAUAAGACUGGGAUAACUUCGGGAAACCGUAGCUAAUACCGGAUAAUAUUUUGAACCGCAUGGUUCAAUAGUGAAAGACGGUCUUGCUGUCACUUAUAGAUGGAUCCGCGCUGCAUUAGCUAGUUGGUAAGGUAACGGCUUACCAAGGCAACGAUGCAUAGCCGACCUGAGAGGGUGAUCGGCCACACUGGAACUGAGACACGGUCCAGACUCCUACGGGAGGCAGCAGUAGGGAAUCUUCCGCAAUGGGCGAAAGCCUGACGGAGCAACGCCGCGUGAGUGAUGAGGGUCUUCGGAUCGUAAAACUCUGUUAUUAGGGAAGAACAUAUGUGUAAGUAACUGUGCACAUCUUGACGGUACCUAAUCAGAAAGCCACGGCUAACUACGUG
This 497-nucleotide ribosomal RNA is filed under the name uncultured bacterium. RNAcentral describes it as "partial 16S ribosomal RNA". It matches the Rfam family "Bacterial small subunit ribosomal RNA", at positions 28 to 507 of the family's 1533-position model. The record is from RNAcentral.